This 613-nucleotide long non-coding RNA is filed under the name Prunus persica (peach). RNAcentral describes it as "long non-coding RNA (PPER_LNC004148)". The record is from RNAcentral. Lineage: Eukaryota; Viridiplantae; Streptophyta; Magnoliopsida; Rosales; Rosaceae.
CAUAGUUGUCUUGGCUGUUAGGCAUCACAACAAACCAAACCCUCCUGUUGCUCCCACAACUCCCCCUAGCACCAGCCCUACCUCCCCAUCCCCCAAAUCUCCAUCUCCUCAGUACCCUCAUCACCCUCCUGGGACCUCACCAUCACCAGCAUCAGUGGCUAACCCUCCAGCCACCUCACCAUCACCAGUAGUGGCUAGCCCUCCUGCCACCUCCCCAUCACCAGUGGGCUACCCUCCUGCCACCUCCCCAUCGCCAGUGGGCUACCCUCCUGCCACCUCACCAUCACCAGUGGGCUACCCUCCUGCCACCUCACCAUCACCAGUGGGAUACACUCCUGCCACCUCACCAUCCCCAUCAACAACAACAUCUCCAGCGCUAGCGCCAGGUCCAUCUUCAUCCCUUACACCAUUUCCUUCUCCACCCUCACCGCCCCCCGAGGGGCCCACACCGCCCUCCGAGGGGCCCACACCGGCCCCGUCCGCAGAGUCUGCGGGCCCCACACCACCGGGAACCGUUUCUCCGCCGCCCGGGACAGCGGACUCGACGGCUCCGAGACCGGCGGGGAGUGGAGCGUCGCAUAGUGUAACGGCUCCUUCGAGCGUGCUGGUGUCU